AGGAAAAGAAACCAACCGGGAUUGCCUUAGUAACGGCGAGUGAAGCGGCAAAAGCUCAAAUUUGAAAUCUGGUACCUUCGGUGCCCGAGUUGUAAUUUGGAGAGGGCAACUUUGGGGCCGUUCCUUGUCUAUGUUCCUUGGAACAGGACGUCAUAGAGGGUGAGAAUCCCGUGUGGCGAGGAGUGCGGUUCUUUGUAAAGUGCCUUCGAAGAGUCGAGUUGUUUGGGAAUGCAGCUCUAAGUGGGUGGUAAAUUCCAUCUAAAGCUAAAUAUUGGCGAGAGACCGAUAGCGAACAAGUACAGUGAUGGAAAGAUGAAAAGAACUUUGAAAAGAGAGUGAAAAAGUACGUGAAAUUGUUGAAAGGGAAGGGCAUUUGAUCAGACAUGGUGUUUUGUGCCCUCUGCUCCUUGUGGGUAGGGGAAUCUCGCAUUUCACUGGGCCAGCAUCAGUUUUGGUGGCAGGAUAAAUCCAUAGGAAUGUAGCUUGCCUCGGUAAGUAUUAUAGCCUGUGGGAAUACUGCCAGCUGGGACUGAGGACUGCGACGUAAGUCAAGGAUGCUGGCAUAAUGGUUAUAUGCCGCCCGUCUUGAC
RNAcentral lists this ribosomal RNA (590 nucleotides) under Saccharomyces cerevisiae (brewer's yeast). RNAcentral describes it as "partial large subunit ribosomal RNA". It matches the Rfam family "Eukaryotic large subunit ribosomal RNA", at positions 54 to 658 of the family's 3401-position model. The record is from RNAcentral. Lineage: Eukaryota; Fungi; Ascomycota; Saccharomycetes; Saccharomycetales; Saccharomycetaceae.